This 498-nucleotide ribosomal RNA is filed under the name Staphylococcus warneri. RNAcentral's name for it is "bacterial SSU rRNA". It matches the Rfam family "Bacterial small subunit ribosomal RNA", at positions 28 to 508 of the family's 1533-position model. The record is from RNAcentral. Lineage: Bacteria; Bacillati; Bacillota; Bacilli; Caryophanales; Staphylococcaceae. RNAcentral also lists the same sequence under 1 other name.
GAUGAACGCUGGCGGCGUGCCUAAUACAUGCAAGUCGAGCGAACAGAUAAGGAGCUUGCUCCUUUGACGUUAGCGGCGGACGGGUGAGUAACACGUGGAUAACCUACCUAUAAGACUGGGAUAACUUCGGGAAACCGGAGCUAAUACCGGAUAACAUAUUGAACCGCAUGGUUCAAUAGUGAAAGGCGGCUUUGCUGUCACUUAUAGAUGGAUCCGCGCCGUAUUAGCUAGUUGGUAAGGUAACGGCUUACCAAGGCAACGAUACGUAGCCGACCUGAGAGGGUGAUCGGCCACACUGGAACUGAGACACGGUCCAGACUCCUACGGGAGGCAGCAGUAGGGAAUCUUCCGCAAUGGGCGAAAGCCUGACGGAGCAACGCCGCGUGAGUGAUGAAGGUCUUCGGAUCGUAAAACUCUGUUAUCAGGGAAGAACAAAUGUGUAAGUAACUGUGCACAUCUUGACGGUACCUGAUCAGAAAGCCACGGCUAACUACGUGC